CAGGGAGACAACAAAAUGUUUAAUAUUACUAUUUUGUCACCUUAGGUCGAUCGGUAUCUCACGUUCUUGAUUAAUUAAGAAUUUCAUUUCCUAAGUUUUUCUAGGUCACACCCAUUUAUUUUCCUGGGCCAUUAGCUCAGGUGGUUAGAGCGCACCCCUGAUAAGGGUGAGGUCCCUGGUUCAAGUCCAGGAUGGCCCAUAUCUCUAUGUUGGGGGUAUAACUCAGUUGGUAGAGCGCCUGCUUUGCAAGCAGGAUGUCAGCGGUUCGAGUCCGCUUACCUCCACUGAUUACCACCUCUACCAUAAUUUGUAGAAAGGAAAUGUUUUGAGUUGUGAUCUAAUUCUGAACGAAUCUAGCUUCCUAAUGAAAUCAUUAAGAUGCUGGACUCAUUGAAUUAAUUUCAUUGUUUUCAGAGAACCUUGACAACUGCAUAGAUUAUUUUUAAAGACAAUAAGCAUCUUUGUGAUGCAGAUUUAUUAUUUGUGCAAAUGCAUUAAUAACAAUUCUAUUAAGCUGAUGCUUCAAUUUUGAAGUUAUU
RNAcentral lists this transfer RNA (539 nucleotides) under uncultured Prochlorococcus sp. RNAcentral's name for it is "partial 16S-23S ribosomal RNA intergenic spacer". The stretch from base 126 to 199 matches the Rfam family "tRNA". Lineage: Bacteria; Bacillati; Cyanobacteriota; Cyanophyceae; Synechococcales; Prochlorococcaceae. The record is from RNAcentral.